GAUUCCAUGGUGUAGUGGUUAUCACAUCUGCUUAACACGCAGAUGGUCCUGGGUUCAAUCCCCAGUGGAAUCA
Non-coding RNA from Dreissena polymorpha, 73 nucleotides. The record is from the annotation of a RefSeq genome assembly. Lineage: Eukaryota; Metazoa; Mollusca; Bivalvia; Myida; Dreissenidae.